UUCAGUUAAUCUAUUGAAAAUACUCCCUGCCCAGUGACUAAAUGUUCAACGGCCGCGGUAUCCUGACCGUGCAAAGGUAGCAUAAUCAUUUGCCUUUUAAUUGGAGGCUAGUAUGAAUGGGAAGACGUAGAUUCUACUGUUUCGAUAUAACAUAUAAAACUUAAAUUUUAGGUGAAGAUGCCUAAAUGAAAUAGAAAGACAAGAAGAGCCUAUAGAGUUUUAGUUAACCUCCCUCGCCUUUUGGAGUAUAACUUUGGUUGGGGCGACAUAGGAUUUCAAUAAACCUCCUAUUAUACAAAGAUUUAUAAAUCUCAUCAAUAGACCCUAUAACGGAUUAUCAGAAAUAACUACCUUAGGGAUAACAGGCUUAUCUUCCUAGAGAGCUCUUAUUGAUAGGAUGGUUUGGCACCUCGAUGUUGGCUUAGAGUAACUAAAUACCGCAGAAGGUAUUGAAAGUCAGUUUGUUCAACUGUUAAUUCUCU
RNAcentral lists this ribosomal RNA (482 nucleotides) under Bylgides promamme. RNAcentral's name for it is "partial large subunit ribosomal RNA". It matches the Rfam family "Bacterial large subunit ribosomal RNA", at positions 1833 to 2597 of the family's 2925-position model. Lineage: Eukaryota; Metazoa; Annelida; Polychaeta; Phyllodocida; Polynoidae. The record is from RNAcentral.